GAUGAACGCUGGCGGCGUGCCUAAUACAUGCAAGUCGAGCGAACGGACGAGAAGCUUGCUUCUCUGAUGUUAGCGGCGGACGGGUGAGUAACACGUGGAUAACCUACCUAUAAGACUGGUAUAACUUCGGGAAACCGUAGCUAAUACCGUAUAAUAUUUUGAUCCGCAUGGUUCAAAAGUGAAAGACGGUCUUGCUGUCACUUAUAGAUGGAUCCGCGCUGCAUUAGCUAGUUGGUAAGGUAACGGCUUACCAAGGCAACGAUGCGUAGCCGACCUGAGAGAGUGAUCGGCCACACUGGAACUGAGACACGGUCCAGACUCCUACGGGAGGCAGCAGUAGGGAAUCGUCCGCAAUGGGCGAAAGCCUGACGGAGCAACGCCGAGUGAGUGAUGAAGGUCUUCGGAUCGUAAAACUCUGUUAUUAGGGAAGAACAUAUGUGUAAGUAACUGUGCACAUCUUGACGGUACCUAAUCAGAAAGCCACGGCUAACUACGUG
Molecule: ribosomal RNA, 497 nt
Filed under: uncultured bacterium
Lineage: Bacteria
Description: partial 16S ribosomal RNA
Rfam family: Bacterial small subunit ribosomal RNA
Source: RNAcentral